GAUGAACGCUGGCGGCGUGCCUAAUACAUGCAAGUCGAGCGAACAGACGAGGAGCUUGCUCCUCUGACGUUAGCGGCGGACGGGUGAGUAACACGUGGAUAACCUACCUAUAAGACUGGGAUAACUUCGGGAAACCGGAGCUAAUACCGGAUAAUAUAUUGAACCGCAUGGUUCAAUAGUGAAAGACGGUUUUGCUGUCACUUAUAGAUGGAUCCGCGCCGCAUUAGCUAGUUGGUAAGGUAACGGCUUACCAAGGCAACGAUGCUUAGCCGACCUGAGAGGGGGAUCGGCCACACUGGACCUGAGACACGUGCCAGACUCCUACGGGAGGCAGCAGUAGGGAAUCUUCCGAAAUGGGCGAAAGCCUGACGAAGUAACGCCGCGUGAGUGAUGAAGGUCUUCGGAUCGUAAAACUCUGUUAUUAGGGAAGAACAAAUGUGUAAGUAACGAUGCACGUCUGGACGGUACCUAAGCAGAAAGCCACGGCUAACUACGU
Molecule: ribosomal RNA, 496 nt
Filed under: uncultured bacterium
Lineage: Bacteria
Description: partial 16S ribosomal RNA
Rfam family: Bacterial small subunit ribosomal RNA
Source: RNAcentral